Molecule: ribosomal RNA, 440 nt
Filed under: uncultured bacterium
Lineage: Bacteria
Description: partial 16S ribosomal RNA
Rfam family: Bacterial small subunit ribosomal RNA
Source: RNAcentral
CUACGGGGGGCAGCAGUGGGGAAUCUUGCACAAUGGACGAAAGUCUGAUGCAGCGAUCCCGCGUGGAGGACGACGCCCUAUGGGGUGUAAACUCCUUUUCUGGUGGAAGAAGAAUGACGGUACACCAGGAAUAAGAGACGGCUAACUACGUGCCAGCAGCCGCGGUAAUACGUAGGUCUCGAGCGUUAUCCGGAUUUACUGGGCGUAAAGCGUCCGUAGCCUGAUGAAUAAGUCUGUUUUCAAAUACUGUGGCUCAACCAUAGGAAGGGGAUGGAUACUGUUUAUCUAGAGACUGUUAGGGGUUAGUGGAAUUUCAGGUGGAGCGGUGAAAUGUGUUGAUAUCUGAAAGAAUGCCGAAAGCGAAAGCAGCUAACUAUAAUAAGUCUGACGGUGAUGGACGAAAGCUUGGGGAGCGAACGGGAUUAGAUACCCCAGUAGUC